UAACACGUGGAUAACCUACUAUAAGACUGGGAUAACUUCGGGAAACCGGAGCUAAUACCGGAUAAUAUAUUGAACCGCAUGGUUCAAUAGUGAAAGACGGUUUUGCUGUCACUUAUAGAUGGAUCCGCGCCGCAUUAGCUAGUUGGUAAGGUAACGGCUUACCAAGGCAACGAUGCGUAGCCGACCUGAGAGGGUGAUCGGCCACACUGGAACUGAGACACGGUCCAGACUCCUACGGGAGGCAGCAGUG
RNAcentral lists this ribosomal RNA (250 nucleotides) under uncultured Staphylococcus sp. Its description in RNAcentral is "partial 16S ribosomal RNA". It matches the Rfam family "Bacterial small subunit ribosomal RNA", at positions 111 to 356 of the family's 1533-position model. The record is from RNAcentral. Lineage: Bacteria; Bacillati; Bacillota; Bacilli; Caryophanales; Staphylococcaceae.